GUCCACGCCGUAAACGAUGGGUGCUAGGUGUGGGCGGUGUCGACUCCGUCCGUGCCGAAGCUAACGCAUUAAGCACCCCGCCUGGGGAGUACGGCCGCAAGGCUAAAACUCAAAGGAAUUGACGGGGCCCGCACAAGCAGCGGAGCAUGUGGUUUAAUUCGACGCGACGCGAAGAACCUUACCAAGGCUUGACAUGACCAGGAAUGUCGUAGAAAUACGGCAGCCCUUCGGGGCCUGGCCACAGGUGGUGCAUGGCUGUCGU
RNAcentral lists this ribosomal RNA (262 nucleotides) under uncultured bacterium. RNAcentral's name for it is "partial 16S ribosomal RNA". It matches the Rfam family "Bacterial small subunit ribosomal RNA", at positions 793 to 1055 of the family's 1533-position model. The record is from RNAcentral.